GCUCCUGUAGCCCAAUUGGAAGAGGCACCGGGUUUAGGUUCCGGUCAGUGGGGGUUCGACUCCCUCCAGGAGCACCA
RNAcentral lists this transfer RNA (77 nucleotides) under Mycolicibacterium frederiksbergense. RNAcentral describes it as "tRNA-Leu". It matches the Rfam family "tRNA". From Rfam's summary of the family: Transfer RNA (tRNA) molecules are approximately 80 nucleotides in length. Their secondary structure includes four short double-helical elements and three loops (D, anti-codon, and T loops). Further hydrogen bonds mediate the characteristic L-shaped molecular structure. tRNAs have two regions of fundamental functional importance: the anti-codon, which is responsible for specific mRNA codon recognition, and the 3' end, to which the tRNAs corresponding amino acid is attached (by aminoacyl-tRNA synthetases). tRNAs cope with the degeneracy of the genetic code in two manners: having more than one tRNA (with a specific anti-codon) for a particular amino acid; and 'wobble' base-pairing, i.e. permitting non-standard base-pairing at the 3rd anti-codon position. The record is from RNAcentral. Lineage: Bacteria; Bacillati; Actinomycetota; Actinomycetes; Mycobacteriales; Mycobacteriaceae.